AUGCUGCAGCCAGGAGUCCCUGCGGAAGAAGCUGUGUUUGGAACCGUGGGAUGUGCCUUACACACAUUGAUACAAGGUUUGGAAUGCAGCAGUCCUCUCUGGCUGUGUCUUCCAGCAGGAAGAGAAGGAAUGUCCCCAGUGAGAAGGAAUGAGGUUCCCAAGACACAGCACAAUGUGACCCACAAGGCAGAGAAAAAUCUGAACACAAAUGCAGGGUAGAAAUAGUGGCAGUGUGUGCAUACUGCUGUUUGGAAGAGGGCACUGAUAUGCAGCCUGGGAAUGGCAGCAGUAGCUAGGACAUCACAUCUGCUGCCUGAAGCGUUCAAAGUAAAGUGGUUGUACUCUUUUUCUUUUAAUUAACCAUGCUUAUGAUUUGCUGAAAAACUCAGUAAGUGAUGUAUAGGAAUGAGGUGAUACUUGAACUGUCUGCUUGGCUGCACAGUGUCUUUGUUUAAUAAAGAUUAAUUUAUCCUACA
RNAcentral lists this long non-coding RNA (476 nucleotides) under Phasianus colchicus (ring-necked pheasant). RNAcentral describes it as "lncRNA (ENSPCLG00000014106.1)". The record is from RNAcentral. Lineage: Eukaryota; Metazoa; Chordata; Aves; Galliformes; Phasianidae.